UUCUUUCUGGUGCUUGCCACAGGCUGUGUUUUUCAUCCCAACUGUAUAGAAAGAGGAGUCACAGUAUCCCACCCCAUAUACACCUCAGCCCAGAAACUUUGCCUGGUCUCAUUAUAAGUGGGGAGACAUGU
This is a small nucleolar RNA of Sorex fumeus (smoky shrew), 131 nucleotides long. RefSeq annotates it as small nucleolar RNA SNORA51. The transcript has a single exon. The record is from RefSeq and is a predicted model, not a curated record. Lineage: Eukaryota; Metazoa; Chordata; Mammalia; Eulipotyphla; Soricidae.